UACGGAGGAUGCGAGCGUUAUCCGGAUUUAUUGGGUUUAAAGGGUGCGUAGGCGGUAUGGUAAGUCAGCGGUAAAAGCCCGGGGCUCAACCCCGGCGAGCCGUUGAAACUGCCGUGCUAGAGAGGAAGAGAAGUAGGCGGAAUGCGCAGUGUAGCGGUGAAAUGCUUAGAUAUUGCGCAGAACUCCGAUUGCGAAGGCAUCUCACGAAUCCGCUAUUGACGCUGAUGCACGAAAGCGUGGGUAUCAAACAGG
This 252-nucleotide ribosomal RNA is filed under the name uncultured Bacteroidales bacterium. Its description in RNAcentral is "partial 16S ribosomal RNA". It matches the Rfam family "Bacterial small subunit ribosomal RNA", at positions 524 to 776 of the family's 1533-position model. The record is from RNAcentral. Lineage: Bacteria; Pseudomonadati; Bacteroidota; Bacteroidia; Bacteroidales.